AUGGAGGCGCAGUGGCUCGCCGAGUACCCGCACCAGGCCGCCGACAACCGGCCGCGCAAGCGCCCCCGGCUCGCCUGGGAUGCCGCGUCGCAGCUCUUCCCGCCUCCCAAGGCAAUCCCGAUGCUAUAUUGUGGGCAGGAACUAAUCAACGGUAAUUUCACUACUGCUUUCCUGCCGCCGCCACCAAUUUAUUAUGCUGGACCGCCGCGGAAUCUUUCGCCCCCUUGGAGGCCGGAUGACAAGGAUGGCCACUAUGUUUUCACACUCGGCGAGAACCUUACGCCAAGAUAUAGGAUACUCAGCAAGAUGGGCGAAGGGACCUUUGGACAAGUUUUGGAAUGCUGGGACUUGGAAAACCAAGAAUCAGUAGCUAUCAAGAUUGUGCGUUCCCUGCAGAAAUACCGGGAGGCUGCUAUGAUUGAAAUUGACGUGCUUCAGAGACUUGGGAAGCAUGAUUUUACUGGUAGUCGUUGUGUGCAAAUACGGAAUUGGUUUGACUAUCGUAAUCAUAUAUGUAUAGUAUUUGAGAAGCUUGGACCAAGCUUAUACGACUUCCUACGGAAGAAUAGCUACCGUUCAUUUCCUAUUGAUCUUGUUCGGGAGUUUGCCAGACAAAUAUUAGAGUCUGUUACAUUUAUGCAUGACCUGCGGCUUAUUCACACAGAUCUUAAGCCAGAGAACAUUCUCCUUGUUUCACCUGAUACAAUCAGGGUUCAUGAUUAUAAGAUUCCUAUACGCCCACCCAAGGAUGGGUCUGUUUUCAAGAACCUUCCAAAAUCGAGUGCUAUCAAGCUUAUCGAUUUUGGAAGUACAACAUUCGAUCAUCAAGAUCACAAUUAUGUCGUGUCAACAAGACAUUACCGUGCCCCAGAAGUUAUCCUUGGUCUUGGGUGGAAUUAUCCAUGCGAUCUUUGGAGUGUGGGAUGCAUUUUGGUUGAGCUCUGCUCGGGGGAGGCUUUAUUUCAAACACAUGAAAAUUUGGAGCAUCUUGCUAUGAUGGAGAAGGUUCUAGGCCCCCUUCCCAAACACAUGAUCGCCAGAGCUGAUAGACGAGCUGAGAAAUACUUCAGGCGUGGACUAAGGCUUGACUGGCCAGAGGGGGCAGCCUCACGAGAAAGCAUGAAGGCAGUAUGGAAAUUGCCUCGUCUGCAGAAUCUGGUCAUGCAACAUGUCAAUCAUUCUGCUGGGGAUCUAAUAGAUCUUCUUCAGGGGCUUCUUCGGUAUGAUCCUGAUGAGCGUCUUAAGGCACGACAAGCUCUUCAACACCCUUUCUUUACCAGAUGCCACAGAAGAUGUGGUUACUGA
RNAcentral lists this ribosomal RNA (1305 nucleotides) under Triticum aestivum (bread wheat). RNAcentral's name for it is "partial small subunit ribosomal RNA". The record is from RNAcentral. Lineage: Eukaryota; Viridiplantae; Streptophyta; Magnoliopsida; Poales; Poaceae.